Molecule: non-coding RNA, 199 nt
Filed under: Caloramator quimbayensis
Lineage: Bacteria; Bacillati; Bacillota; Clostridia; Eubacteriales; Clostridiaceae
Description: T-box sequence
Rfam family: T-box leader
About the family: Uncharged tRNA acts as the effector for transcription antitermination of genes in the T-box leader family. T-boxes are found upstream of many aminoacyl-tRNA synthetase genes and some amino acid biosynthetic genes usually in Gram-positive bacteria.
Source: RNAcentral
UAAAAACCGAUGAUAAGGAUUAGUAAAUAGUUUUAAUGCUUAAAGAGAGCCUGUGGCUGGUGUAAACAGGCAGCAUAAUCUAUUGAAUCCACCUUUGAGGGUUUGUGAUGAACAAAACGCAGGUGCCCGUUAAGCACAUUAGAGUGGACUUUAUGGUCAAUUAGGGUGGCAACACGGAAGUUAGCCUUUCGCCCCUUUG